RNAcentral lists this long non-coding RNA (1299 nucleotides) under Zostera marina. RNAcentral's name for it is "long non-coding RNA (ZMAR_LNC000145)". The record is from RNAcentral. Lineage: Eukaryota; Viridiplantae; Streptophyta; Magnoliopsida; Alismatales; Zosteraceae.
CCCUGGUAAACCCAUAGAUAUUUUUCAAAUAUGGUUCACAAUCUUAUCUAUGAUUGGAUAAAAAAACCAUAUAUGAUAUUAGAGUGUGGCUAGACUCUAGAAUAAUUUAAUAUAUAAAUAUAGAAUAUAUCUAGAGUAACAAAAUGUACAAAAAUAGUCAAAAUAUAAAAUAGUAAAUAUUAUAUAGUAAUUUACUAAAAAGUUUAGUUCUCAAGUUUGAGUAUCAAAAAAUUGAAAAAAAAUAUACAAGAUCCUUGUUUGAUGUUUGAAAACAAAUUCAAAAAAUUAAAAUAUCAUCGAACCAACUGUAAAGACCAACAGACAGAGGGGAGAAGAUGGACGGAUAGGUGGAAGAACCUUCUAUGAAAGGCUGCCAAUAUCUAAAAUUGUGAUCACAAUAUAAGUCAUCCUUGAUCCCUUAUUAAAGGGACAUUUAGAUUUACUUGGACAAUUGAGCGGAUCUUUUCCCAGACUCAAACCUUAAUUACGCUAUUAGUGAAUUGUGCAAUAAGCCUAUGCCACGUGCAACUCAAACCUUACGACAAUUUGAGCGGAUCUUUUUUGCCCUUUAGCCCUUACAAUAUUUUUUAUGAAGUGCAUGUAUAAGGAAAUUUCAGACAGAAACAGUUUAUAUUUAAUGUCCAUUCGGUGUUAUGAUUUCCAGUGAAUGCAUUCUGAAGUGCUGGAUAGAUAAGCAUAUUGGUUGAAAACAAGCUUGUUCAUGCGACGCCUAGGCGUCGCAUAUGCGACCAUGCGCUCCAGCGCAUGUAGGCGUUUGCCUUCAUGCGCUGGAGCGGGUUAGGCGGGUCCGGGUCGGAUCUGACCCAGACCCGCCUAACCUAAUAGGUCUGUUUUUUUUUUUUUUAAAUUUAAAUAUAAGGCCCAACCACCCAUUUAAAUAAGAGGUUGAGGGUUUUAAAAAACCCUAACCUCUUUUCUUUCUUGUUUCUUGCACCUUUCUAACCCUAAAUUCAUAGAAGUCAUAUAAUCUAUGUAUUUACAUUUUAAAUUUUAGAUUAAUAGGUCUAUUACUUUGUAUUAGUAAUUUCAGGUUUUAAAAUUUAUGUAUAUAUUUUUUUAAAUGUUUCUGAAUUUAGUAAUUUACCCAUAUUUUUUAGCAAAUGUAUAUAAGUUCAGGGUAAAUUUGCAAAAUUUACCCUAUUUUCAGGCGGCCGCCUAGGCGGCCAUGCGGUCAUGGCCAUCGCAUGACCGCAUGGUCGCCUAAAAAACCUUGGUUGAAAACCAUUAACAUUUUGGUAUUUGGAUUAGAAGAAUGAUAUAUAUUCAAAAGUAGAGAAA